CAGGAGGAACCGUUUUAAAUACCUGUAAUUGAGUUUGACGAUGCCAAUCGAUCCACAGGAUACAAUAAUCGGCGAGUUUCAAUUCUCCAUAGUUUGAAAAACCAAUGGCGAACCAGAAUAUACGAGAUACUACCAAACGACGAAGAACAAAAUCCUGAUACGUUAACACGUUCAAGGAUAUACCUCCAAUGGAACGUGGCUUCCGAACCAAGUGGAAUCGUGUGUACGCUGGUUUUAUCCGAAUAGUCUUGUUUGCUUUGCUGAUGAUUAUGCCAAGAUAGACACGAACCGGUAUUAAAAAUUGAAAUUCGCCGCGACGCGUAUGAUUUAUUCGAUGGAAUUGUUGGUGUUCCGAUAUCGCGUUUAUGUAACAGGCAUCUCUAUGGUGUUUCACUCUCUCGUCGUUGACAUCUACUGACAGGAUCAGGACGAUUAGGAUGGGCAAAGAAUUCAUACGACGCCGGCUUGCCGCCGAUUCGUUGCGGCAGCUAUCGGGGCUCGCGAAGUAUUCGUCUCCUUACUCGCCGUCGAUGCUUCGAAUACAGAUAAGCGCGAGAAGAGACACCUGGAAAGGAUCGAUACUGAUUUAGAAAAUAAGAGGAAGACGGAGCUAUGUCACACGAUAUAUUGAAACAAAGAACCAGACGAGUGGGGUCAAAGGAAAUGGUAAAUCAUUGUGCGCCGGUCCUUUCUAAAAAAAAAAAAAGAACAAUUUGGGCAAGCUUCGUCCUUUAGGAUCAAUGAAUGCAUCGAUCCCUUUCGUGGCCAGGGACGGUCGUGUGAUAUACAAUGGUCCAGUUACUCUCACGGACUCGCAACCUACCUACGUCGCCCAGGUAAAAGAUCUUGUCUGAGACCUUGACUUCCGGUUAGUCGCCGCGACCGUACAGACUGUAUGUAAACGGCAGGUGCACUGUCUGUGAAGUCCACGAUGAAACGCGUUUUGUAUUUGUCAAAUGUGCAAUUUACACAGAUCGACUGACUUUCAAAAUAUUAAACGUCUUACUCAUCGACAAACUUAUCUAAGGAAGCGACCCUCUAAUUGUUUGAAACGCUAUAGCAUGUAUUUGUGGUUUGAAUUACUGCUCGCUGGACUUUGAUUAUGCAAUAUUACGAAAGGACAGUCACGA
This is a long non-coding RNA of Hylaeus volcanicus, 1130 nucleotides long. RefSeq lists it as uncharacterized. NCBI's taxonomy places the organism in Eukaryota, Metazoa, Arthropoda, Insecta, Hymenoptera, Colletidae. The record is from RefSeq and is a predicted model, not a curated record. The transcript is spliced from 5 exons.